GGAAUAUCGAUGUUUUACCAAGAUUACAGAUGGGCCUCUAUAAGGAGAAGUCUCCUGAUUAUCUUAUGUUGAUGGUGUUAAGGUCGAUGUCAGUGGGCAUGGUCAAAAAUAUUAAAAAUAUUUUAAGACAGAAAAGGAAACUCCUUCAAGGCUACAGAAGGUUUCCAUGUGAUUAAAGCUCUAGUUUCUAAAUCCUACUAGACAAUGGGCUGUAUGGAAACAGUCACAGUAAAAACCUCUCUGAAGAAGGCUCACUGCAGAGGUUUGAGAAGACACUGCAACAUCAGGGGUGUUUUUCUUGGAACUGUCACUGUGGAACCGGGCCCUGGGCAAUGAAGACAAAUGCCCUGGAAGUGAGUGGUCCCUGCAGAGAUGGGAUCGAGCGUCAGUUUCUUUCUGCAUCGGUGAUCACUCUGCGCUGGGAGUUACAAGGGUCUGGGAAUUUCAGCUGGGUCUGAGUACUGAGGGGAGCAAGGAGGGUGAGCAAGGUGAGCAGGACACACCGUGGGGCCCCCUUGGAAUGGCAGCGCAGUGGGAGCCAACACCAGGUCCAAGCUUGGAGACCACUCUUUUAGGAAGUUCUCAUCAGGAAGAGAAACCUACAAAGCAGUAAGUACCUUUGAUUUUACUUUGCGAUGUUUCUGUAGAUC
RNAcentral lists this long non-coding RNA (650 nucleotides) under Ictidomys tridecemlineatus (thirteen-lined ground squirrel). Its description in RNAcentral is "lncRNA (ENSSTOG00000034169.1)". Lineage: Eukaryota; Metazoa; Chordata; Mammalia; Rodentia; Sciuridae. The record is from RNAcentral.